UUUCCCUCAGGAUAGCUGGCACUCGCUUAAAGCGAGUCUCAUCUGGUAAAGCGAAUGAUUAGAGGCCUUGGGGCCGAAACGACCUCAACCUAUUCUCAAACUUUAAAUGGGUGAGAUCUCUGGCUUGCUUGAAACUUGAAGCCACGAGAUAACAUUGUAAAAUGGAUCAGAGUGCCAAGUGGGCCAAUUUUGGUAAGCAGAACUGGCGCUGUGGGA
This 216-nucleotide ribosomal RNA is filed under the name Saccharissa alcocki. RNAcentral's name for it is "partial 28S ribosomal RNA". It matches the Rfam family "Eukaryotic large subunit ribosomal RNA", at positions 967 to 1163 of the family's 3401-position model. The record is from RNAcentral. Lineage: Eukaryota; Metazoa; Arthropoda; Insecta; Hymenoptera; Eucharitidae.